CCGGGAAUAAACCUCGGUAUGUAUACCGAGUUGAAUGUACUGUAAGAAUAAGGAUCCGGCUAACUCCGUGC
This 71-nucleotide ribosomal RNA is filed under the name uncultured bacterium. Its description in RNAcentral is "partial 16S ribosomal RNA". The record is from RNAcentral.